GCAACGCCGCGUGAGUGAGUGAAAGGUUUUCGGAUCGUAAAGCUCUGUUGUAGGGAAGAACAAGUACCGUUCGAAUAGGGCGGUACCUUGACGGUACCUAACCAGAAAGCCACGGCUAACUACGUGCCAGCAGCCGCGGUAAUACGUAGGUGGCAAGCGUUAUCCGGAUUAUUGGGCGUAAAGCGCGCGCAGGCGGUUUCUUAAGUCUGAUGUGAAAGCCCACGGCUCAACCGUGGAGGGUCAUUGGAAACUGGGGAACUUGAGUGCGGAAGAGAAAAGCGGAAUUCCACGUGUAGCGGUGAAAUGCGUAGAGAUGUGGAGGAACACCAGUGGCGAAGGCGGCUUUUUGGUCUGUAGCUGACGCUGAGGCGCGAAAGCGUGGGGAGCAAACAGGAUUAGAUACCCUGGUAGUCCACGCCGUAAACGAUGAGUGCUAAGUGUUAGAGGGUUUCCGCCCUUUAGUGCUGCAGCUAACGCAUUAAGCACUCCGCCUGGGGAGUACGGUCGCAAGACUG
RNAcentral lists this ribosomal RNA (515 nucleotides) under uncultured Bacillota bacterium. RNAcentral's name for it is "bacterial SSU rRNA". It matches the Rfam family "Bacterial small subunit ribosomal RNA", at positions 391 to 896 of the family's 1533-position model. Lineage: Bacteria; Bacillati; Bacillota. The record is from RNAcentral.